This 225-nucleotide long non-coding RNA is filed under the name Lathyrus oleraceus (garden pea). RNAcentral's name for it is "Pisum sativum (pea) long non-coding RNA (PSAT_LNC007729)". The record is from RNAcentral. Lineage: Eukaryota; Viridiplantae; Streptophyta; Magnoliopsida; Fabales; Fabaceae.
UUUUCACAGACUGUUUGGUAAGGGGAGGGUGGAAGAAGGGCGAAGUAGUUUGGUUGUUGUAAGUGAGAAGAAACAGGGGAGAUGAAAGUGAAAUAUGAAGAAGAAGAAGGACUUGCGUUUUUGAGAGCAUUGAAUGUAUGCGUUUUAAGUCGUGAAUAAGGAGAAGAAGUCUUCUUAUUUUGACUCAGUUUUUUUUAUUAGCUUUUUUCUUUUACUUUUUUUUUU